CAGUCUGCAACUCGAGUGCAUGAAGCUGGAAUCGCUAGUAAUCGCGGAUCAGAAUGCCGCGGUGAAUACGUUCCCGGGUCUUGUACACACCGCCCGUCACACCAUGGGAGUCGGGAAUGCCCGAAGCCGGUGGCCCAAUCGAAAGAAGGGAGCCGUCGAAGGCAGGCCGGAUGACUGGGGUGAAGUCGUAACAAGGUAUC
RNAcentral lists this ribosomal RNA (200 nucleotides) under uncultured bacterium. RNAcentral describes it as "partial 16S ribosomal RNA". It matches the Rfam family "Bacterial small subunit ribosomal RNA", at positions 1301 to 1500 of the family's 1533-position model. The record is from RNAcentral.